GUUUUGGGAGCGCCGGCCGGCGUGUGAGCUGCUGCUAGCCGUGAUCAUUAGAUUCUGUAGAUUCUGUACCUUCAGCCACUUUUGGCGUGGAACCACACUCUGCUGUGAACUGGCUUUCACUUCGCGCUGCCUAUACUGCACCGGUGUUGCCUCUCGUUGGUUGGUGUGUCGCCCCAUCAUCUGUGCCCUGUGGCAGGCCUGAUUUGUGGUGCUUACGCCGGCCUUGGAGUAGCCAAAGGGGUUGGCCCCUGUGUAUCUGACUGCAGUCAGUGGAUGGUAAGCUGGCAUAUGCUACGUUGAUGUUGUUGCUUCGAUGGUAACGAUGACCUUAGUCACUAAAUCUACCCUCACUUUCCUCAGUGUGUGGUCCAAAUUGCGAUUGUUCCGAACCACGGAUCUAUGAUCAGGUUAGCGGUGCCUCUCUGACGCUGUAAGUAUUCAUUUCUUCCUCUUGAUUGUCGCUGUCACCAAUUACCUCAGGCUAGUGAGUAAUGGGUACCUGUCUGUUACAGGGGGAUUGCUAGCUACACUCCUCGGAGGUUGCUGUUUUGUUGCCAUCAAACUCUGCGCCAGUUCCGAACUGGCUCCACCUGCUCGUCCUGUUUUGGGCCCACGGUUUAUUUGUUUAGUUUUCCUGUGACCUCACUUUCAUUUGGUUUAAUUAUUUUUCAUUUGUGUUGGUUUGUUGUUUUCUGGCCCAUUUCUUGGGACAUCAGCCUCCUCGCGGCGCAUUGCGCAGGGCUGGUUACUACCUGUGUGUGUUGAGUGUGCGUGUGUGUGUUCAGUGUGUCUGUGUGCGUGUGUGAUUGUCAUCUAGGCACGGCACCGGAGACAAGUGUACACCCCCCUCCCGUCAACCUACGGCGGUGUAGUUCUCCCCUCUCUCUUGCUACACGAAAGUUAAGUUGCAUCUAGUCAUCACUGUGUAUGCAGAUUGUGUAAUACAUUAGCACGUGUCAUUCUCGCCAUUAAGUGUCUCUCUCUUCUCUCCUCCCUGGAUAGGUAUGGAGUUGCCAUAGCGCACCGGUCUUCGGGUGGUGGAUUCCCUCACUUUUCCAUUGCUGUGUGCACUUGGGUGACUAUUACUAUUUUGCUGUGCUAAGUAGCAGUAGUAGAUGUGUGUUUUCUUUUUAUUUUGUGUGAGUACUAUCUUUAUUGUGUGUGUUUAUUUUGUGUGGCCUUUUCCCUAGCCUUUAACUAUCCCUUUUCAACCGUGCUGCUAUUGGUUAGCCUAAGCCUAGCUUCCUCCCCCUUUCAAGAGUGACACCAGUGCCCUGUCUACCCCGUAUUGGGGCGUUGCUUAUGACUGAGUGUAGCCUCCCUUCUCUCUCGCACAGGUGCCGUGCGUGUGUAUGUGUAGUGUGUGUAUGUGGCCACUGGCGGUUUUGUUCCACAUUACUGCUCGCCAGUGAGAUAAUAGGGAAUUUGUGCAAUAUUGUGUUAUACCAUUCAUCCAUGUUGUCUUCUGUAAUGUAUUACCAGUUGUCCCCUAUGCAUCACCACUGCACGUUGUACAUUUGAACUACCUGACUGCAAUGACCUACAUGUAUAUUUUAUUGAUUUGUAUUACCAUUCUAUCUGUGAAAAGAGAAAUAAAACACGAACUUGACCCUUGCCUAAGAGUGCUCCGAACCUGUGUCCUGGUUUACUAAUUUGGGGGGUAAUUUCACUCCUAGGUUGUCUUCCCCCACCCUAGGUGGCGUAGUCGUGCAAGAGCUGAGUUGAAUUGAAUUAACUGUAAACGUGCCACUGUUACAACUGGCGUAGAUUUCGGCAGGAGAGCACUCUUAAGGCAGAGUUUUGUAAGUGUGUUGUGUGCA
Molecule: long non-coding RNA, 1820 nt
Organism: Engraulis encrasicolus (European anchovy)
Lineage: Eukaryota; Metazoa; Chordata; Actinopteri; Clupeiformes; Engraulidae
Exons: 2
Source: RefSeq, a predicted model, not a curated record